This 497-nucleotide ribosomal RNA is filed under the name uncultured bacterium. RNAcentral's name for it is "partial 16S ribosomal RNA". It matches the Rfam family "Bacterial small subunit ribosomal RNA", at positions 28 to 507 of the family's 1533-position model. The record is from RNAcentral.
GAUGAACGCUGGCGGCGUGCCUAAUACAUGCAAGUCGAGCGAACGGACGAGAAGCUUGCUUUUCUGAUGUUAGCGGCGGACGGGUGGGUAACACGUGGAUAACCUACCUAUAAGACUGGGAUAACUUCGGGAAACCGGAGCUAAUACCGGAUAAUAUUUUGAACCGCAUGGUUCAAAAGUGAAAGACGGUCUUGCUGUCACUUAUAGAUGGAUCCGCGCUGCAUUAGCUAGUUGGUAAGGUAACGGCUUACCAAGGCAACGUUGCAUAGCCGACCUGAGAGGGUGAUCGGCCACACUGGAACUGAGACACGGUCCAGACUCCUACGGGAGGCAGCAGUAGGGAAUCUUCCGCAAUGGGCGAAAGCCUGACGGAGCAACGCCGCGUGAGUGAUGAAGGUCUUCGGAUCGUAAAACUCUGUUAUUAGGGAAGAACAUAUGUGUAAGUAACUGUGCACAUCUUGACGGUACCUAAUCAGAAAGCCACGGCUAACUACGUG